This 324-nucleotide ribosomal RNA is filed under the name uncultured eukaryote. RNAcentral describes it as "partial 18S ribosomal RNA". It matches the Rfam family "Eukaryotic small subunit ribosomal RNA", at positions 1470 to 1796 of the family's 1831-position model. The record is from RNAcentral.
CCCUUAGAUGUUCUGGGCUGCACGCGCGCUACACUGAAGCUAUCAACACGUUUUCCCUCCCUGAGAAGGGCGGGUAACCUUUUGAAUCAGCUUCGUGGUAGGGAUCGGGGCUUGCAAUUGUUCCCCGUGAACCAGGAAUUCCUAGUAGACGCGAGUCAUAAGCUCGCAUCGAUUAAGUCCCUGCCCUUUGUACACACCGCCCGUCGCUACUACCGAUUGAACGUUUUAGUGAGGCAUUUGGACCGACGCAUCUCAGUUUAACCGCUGGUUUGUGUUGGAAAGACUUCCAAACUUUAGCGUUUAGAGGAAGUAAAAGUCGUAACA